This is a non-coding RNA of Oryza meridionalis, 280 nucleotides long. Lineage: Eukaryota; Viridiplantae; Streptophyta; Magnoliopsida; Poales; Poaceae. The record is from Rfam.
AUACCUUUCUCGGCCUUUUGGCUAAGAUCAAGUGUAGUAUCUGUUCUUAUCAGUUUAAUAUCUGAUAUGUGGGCCAUGUGCCCACUUCGAUAUUAAAUUUAUUUUUUGUGGGGGAGGUCGUAUAACUUCGUAUNNNNNNNNNAUCUGAUAUGUGGGCCAUGUGCCCACUUCGAUAUUAAAUUUAUUUUUUGUGGGGGAGGGUCCACCACAGUGGCUUGCCACUGGGGCCCUCGCGUGUCGCCCAGGCGUUGCACUACUGCCCGGGCCUGGCGCACCCCAA